UAGGGAAUAUUGCACAAUGGAGGAAACUCUGAUGCAGCGACGCCGCGUGAGUGAUGAAGGACUUCGGUUCGUAAAGCUCUGUCGUAUGGGAAUAAUAAAGUGAAUGUACCAUGCAAGAAAGGAUCGGCUAACUUCGUGCCAGCAGCCGCGGUAAGACGAGGGAUCCUAGCGUUGUUCGGAAUCAUUGGGCGUAAAGCGGAUGUAGGUGGCUUUGUAAGUCAGGUGUGAAAGCCCCGGGCUCAACCCGGGAAGUGCAUUUGAUACUGCGAAGCUUGAAUGUUGGAGAGGCUACUAGAAUACCUGGUGUAGUGGUGAAAUACGUAGAUAUCAGGUGGAAUACCGGAGGCGAAGGCGGGUAGCCAGCCAAACAUUGACACUCAGAUCCGAAAGUGUGGGGAUCAAACA
This 405-nucleotide ribosomal RNA is filed under the name uncultured Bdellovibrio sp. RNAcentral describes it as "bacterial SSU rRNA". It matches the Rfam family "Bacterial small subunit ribosomal RNA", at positions 355 to 774 of the family's 1533-position model. Lineage: Bacteria; Pseudomonadati; Bdellovibrionota; Bdellovibrionia; Bdellovibrionales; Pseudobdellovibrionaceae. The record is from RNAcentral.